RNAcentral lists this ribosomal RNA (484 nucleotides) under uncultured bacterium. RNAcentral describes it as "partial 16S ribosomal RNA". It matches the Rfam family "Bacterial small subunit ribosomal RNA", at positions 30 to 507 of the family's 1533-position model. The record is from RNAcentral.
AUUGAACGCUGGCGGAAUGCUUUACACAUGCAAGUCGAGCGGCAGCACGGGGGCAACCCUGGUGGCGAGCGGCGAACGGGUGAGUAAUACAUCGGAACAUGCCCAGUCGUGGGGGAUAACACUUCGAAAGAAGUGCUAAUACCGCAUACGUCCUGAGGGGGAAAGCGGGGGAUCGCAAGACCUCGCGCGAUUUGAGUGGCCGAUGUCAGAUUAGCUAGUUGGUGGGGUAAAGGCCUACCAAGGCAACGAUCUGUAGCUGGUCUGAGAGGAUGAUCAGCCACACUGGGACUGAGACACGGCCCAGACUCCUACGGGAGGCAGCAGUGGGGAAUUUUGGACAAUGGGGGCAACCCUGAUCCAGCCAUUCCGCGUGAGUGAAGAAGGCCUUCGGGUUGUAAAGCUCUUUCGGCAGGAACGAAACGGUGAGCUCUAACAUAGCUUGCUAAUGACGGUACCUGAAGAAGAAGCACCGGCUAACUACGUG